GGGAAAAAUUAAUAUGCAACGGACUUUCUCGCAGAUUAUCGAAUCGACGAGGAAAAAGAUAUUGGAAAGUUGUAAUUUCCAAUCAAGCCGCGCUGCAAAUAGAGUUUUUAUCGAUAACUCAUGUCAAAUCCAAUCUUUGAUUACGUAAGGUUAUCGUUAAUUAUUCUUGUACUUACGGAAUCUGCAGUUCAUCCUGUGAUUUUUUCCUUUUGAUGGGCGUAGUCCAUUAUUGGGUACGUCCAUACUGUUGUGCUAAGCAAAGAUCACAUAUGGGACCGCGAAUGGGACUUUAAGCGGAUUAAAGAGGUUCCGAUUUAGUUGGGCAGCGUACUGGCUUACUUAUUUUUAGAGCAAACGGGGGGAGGAGGCAGUAGCUUUGGCUUUCCCUGACUUGAGGAAAUAGAUUUAACUCCAAAGCGCGGUAUAAACGUCAGGCCCAUUGCUAUUUUGCCUUCAAUUUUCGAAAAAGGCCAGAAAAAUGAUCAUGACAAAAAUAACCCUGUUGGAGGUAAGUUGAUUCAUUUCUUUUUCAUCUUGGGCUCUUUUCUUUUUUGAAAUUUAGAGCUCAGCAAUUGGUCAUUACGCUACAUGGGAAAGCGCAGUGAUAGGACUGCCAAAAGCGCAAGAAUUGAAAGCUGUCAGAUCUAGAUUAUUUUCCAAAAAGAUGCCAGUGCAUAAACCUCGGUUGGAAUCCAGGUUUCCAAUCCACAAAAAAUGCCUUGGUUGGAGGUAAAUGGUGCUUACCAAUGAAAGGAGCCGACAAAUCUAUAGUGGUGCGCUCCCAACGCUACCUUCACGAACUAUACCAAGAAAUACCCGCCCAAGCAGACGUCCACGUCGCGAUACGCGAUUUUUGUGUCCAUGUCUAUCCUGGUUUUCUUCGCACUCAUAUUUUUGCUCCUGGCGAAAUUUUCCAUCGGCAGGAGUCUUUUACUUAAGUAUCCUGAGAUAUUCUCGAGGGGUUGCUUCAGUCAUGAAGGACCAACUGAAGAAGCCCAGAAGAACAGCGUGGUCUCAUUUACUUUUUUCGGCAGGGGUUGGUCACAUAAACGGGACCUGCCGCCACCCUUCCGGACAAGACUGUCACCACAAGGUUGGUCCUCAGAAGUCCUGGUUACGGAUUCACGGCCACAUCAAUUAUUUUAUGCGCAAUAACUAUCUUGGAGGAGUCAAAAAACAUGCCCUUAAGGUAAGAUGUUAUAGAUGUAAGAUGUAUAAGAGAUUGUCUUGAAUAUUGCCCCUAUUCCCGGGCUACGUGCAGUUUGUGUUUCAC
Molecule: long non-coding RNA, 1273 nt
Filed under: Bemisia tabaci
Lineage: Eukaryota; Metazoa; Arthropoda; Insecta; Hemiptera; Aleyrodidae
Description: lncRNA ENSSWEETPG002801
Source: RNAcentral